RNAcentral lists this small RNA (166 nucleotides) under uncultured Lachnoclostridium sp. RNAcentral describes it as "Clostridiales-1 RNA". It matches the Rfam family "Clostridiales-1 RNA". Lineage: Bacteria; Bacillati; Bacillota; Clostridia; Lachnospirales; Lachnospiraceae. The record is from RNAcentral.
GAUACCAGGGCCCAAAGGCCAGACACCUGGCGCAAGCCCGCUUGCAAGGAGAGUUCUGACUUUGAAGCCCGUCAAAACCAUAAAUAAGAAACCGUUUUUGCAGAAAAACCAGGGGAUUAUGAAUGUUUAUGACGACUGCGGAAGUGCGCAGCACGAAACAAUCUGG